RNAcentral lists this ribosomal RNA (377 nucleotides) under uncultured bacterium. RNAcentral describes it as "bacterial SSU rRNA". It matches the Rfam family "Bacterial small subunit ribosomal RNA", at positions 28 to 417 of the family's 1533-position model. The record is from RNAcentral.
AACGAACGCUGGCGGCAGGCCUAACACAUGCAAGUCGAACGCCGUAGCAAUACGGAGUGGCAGACGGGUGAGUAACGCGUGGGAACAUACCCUCCGGUUCGGAAUAACUCAGGGAAACUUGAGCUAAUACCGGAUAUGACUCCAUGACGCAUGUUGUGGGGUGGAAAGCCUUGUGCGGCUGAGGAUGGGCCCGCGGCCUAUCAGCUUGUUGGUGGGGUGAUGGCCUACCAAGGCGACGACGGGUAGCCGGCCUGAGAGGGCGACCGGCCACACUGGGACUGAGACACGGCCCAGACUCCUACGGGAGGCAGCAGUGGGGAAUCUUGCGCAAUGGGCGAAAGCCUGACGCAGCGACGCCGCGUGAGGGAUGACGGCCU